UUCAUAAUAUAGAUUCUGUAGUAGUAGUAUCAAUGCCGUCCUUUGGAAGUUUGCGACUCGGCAGUUUUGCAACCUUCAUUCCACAUGUGUCGGUGAGCUUGGAAAUUCGGUGAAGUUUAGCACACGAAUAUUUGGAUCGCCUCAGAUUCUAACCAAGUUAGUAGAUGCUUCUUCUUCUGAUUUCUCAUGAUAUCUGCCAACUUCUUGCAUGAUCCCAUUCUUAGUAUGGAAUCGAAGGUGAGGGAGGCUGUAAAGGUACUACGAAGAAUAGACUUGAGGGGGUGACUUCGAUCGUGAAAGCCAGGAAUUCUGUGCUACAAUCACCACAAGAGCCUUCCACAAUAGAAAUUUGUCGCCAGACUUCCACAGAACUCUCCAAUCCAACUGGGUUUUCAAUCCCAUCACGGCCUGGAGUAUGACUUUAGGAGCCGCAGUUUGCUUAUGUCAAAAGUAUGGGGGAGGGAGUUUCGUUCACUGCACUUCAUCACCUACUGAGUAAUGAGUUGAGCAUGAUCUCGGGCCUUAUUUGGGGAGAUCCAGCCAUUCCAGGGAUGCAAUCGAUGAAGAGCUUUUGAUUGAGAAGCGUUUCAAGAACAGAAAGACUGGAAAUCCAUAUCAUCUCCAGCAAUCCAGCUGAGACAUGUCAAAGACGACCAACAUUCCGAACAACUCUCUAGUAUCAUUAAGACAAUUCCUGUAUCAAGACUUUGCUAGUUGCGAAGCAGAUUACGAGACAAAAAGUGGUGGUCUUGGUUGCAACGAGAAAAAUUCAACUUGGGUGCAAGAUUUCUUUCCCCAUGUCCUGAUUGUACAAAAUUGCAUUAUCAGAACAAUCACCUCAAAUUCCAGCUCUCCGUCCACUGCUAUGUCGCUUACAUGUGAGAAAGGAAAAUCUCAUUUUGGGUGGUUAAGGAUCAUUGGGUGCAUCAUGUCUGUCAAUUGCACUUGGGGUGCAGACUGACAACGUGGCAGCAAAGAUAUAAAUCAAAUACGUGCGAGCCAUGUUCAGCGGCGUUUCCAAGCGAACCCGGUUGACUAGUUUAGUAGAGAAAAGUUGCCAAAAGUUGCAUCUAGCUCAAAAACCAAGUGCACUUUAGGAAAUUUCUUCAUACGUUAGGCUCUCUUCUUGCGACAUGCAUGCUGUUGCUGCUUUACGAUCAAUUUAUUGUUCAGCCACAUGUGUAAGAAUAAUGCAUUGAUUGGAUUCUUUGGAUAUUAUAUGUUUAUCUUGUCACUUUGUGGUGAAUAUAUUAAGUUCACAUUCAUUGAA
Molecule: non-coding RNA, 1270 nt
Organism: Physcomitrium patens
Lineage: Eukaryota; Viridiplantae; Streptophyta; Bryopsida; Funariales; Funariaceae
Source: RefSeq, a predicted model, not a curated record